GAGGAAUUGGCGGGGGAGCACCACAACGGGUGGAGCCUGCGGUUUAAUUGGACUCAACGCCGGGAAGCUCACCGGAUAAGACAGCUGAAUGAUUGCCGGGCUGAAGACUCUGCAUGACUAGCUGAGAGGAGGUGCAUGGCCGUCGUCAGUUCGUACUGUGAAGCAUCCUGUUAAGUCAGGCAACGAGCGAGACCCGUGCCCACUGUUACCAGCAUAUCCUCCGGGAUGAUGGGUACUCUGUGGGGACCGCUGAUGUUAAAUCGGAGGAAGGUGCGGGCCACGGUAGGUCAGUAUGCCCCGAAUCUCCCGGGCUACGCGCGGGCUACAAUGGAUGGGACAAUGGGUCCCUCCCCUGAAAAGGGCUGGUAAUCUCACAAACCCAUUCGUAGUUCGGAUCGAGGGCUGUAACUCGCCCUCGUGAAGCUGGAAUCCGUAGUAAUCGCGUUUCAAUAUAGCGCGGUGAAUACGUCCCUGCUCCUUGCACACACCGC
RNAcentral lists this ribosomal RNA (491 nucleotides) under uncultured archaeon. RNAcentral describes it as "bacterial SSU rRNA". It matches the Rfam family "Archaeal small subunit ribosomal RNA", at positions 858 to 1349 of the family's 1478-position model. The record is from RNAcentral.